This 429-nucleotide ribosomal RNA is filed under the name Chloroflexota bacterium. RNAcentral's name for it is "Chloroflexi bacterium partial 16S ribosomal RNA". It matches the Rfam family "Bacterial small subunit ribosomal RNA", at positions 355 to 776 of the family's 1533-position model. RNAcentral also lists the same sequence under 1 other name. The record is from RNAcentral. Lineage: Bacteria; Bacillati; Chloroflexota.
UAGGGAAUCUUCGGCAAUGGACGAAAGUCUGACCGAGCAACGCCGCGUGAGUGAAGAAGGUUUUCGAAUCGUAAAACUCUGUUGUUAGAGAAGAACAAGGACGUUAGUAACUGAACGUCCCCUGACGGUAUCUAACCAGAAAGCCACGGCUAACUACGUGCCAGCAGCCGCGGUAAUACGUAGGUGGCAAGCGUUGUCCGGAUUUAUUGGGCGUAAAGCGAGCGCAGGCGGUUUCUUAAGUCUGAUGUGAAAGCCCCCGGCUCAACCGGGGAGGGUCAUUGGAAACUGGGAGACUUGAGUGCAGAAGAGGAGAGUGGAAUUCCAUGUGUAGCGGUGAAAUGCGUAGAUAUAUGGAGGAACACCAGUGGCGAAGGCGGCUCUCUGGUCUGUAACUGACGCUGAGGCUCGAAAGCGUGGGGAGCAAACAGG